CUUUGGGGGAACAAGCCCCGAGUAGCCACCAGCUCUAGAUCUAGUCAGGGUGCUGCCUAAGGGGCUUGAAUGCAGAAGCCUCUGCCUGGUCACCUGUGGCUCAGAGAGCCUGCUCCUGUCUCCUGCAGUGGGAAGGGCCUUGGCCACCCACCCUGUCCCCUCCCCUGCAGAGUGUGGGGUCCCGCUCCUGCAUAGCCUGGGAGUCCUCUGCACUCUGGCUCCUGGGUGUCUGAGAACAGCAUUUUUCUCCUUUAAACCACUGUGGGUUUGUACUUGUUGCUUGAGUGUCCUCCCUGCUCCCUAGGACAAUUGCGGGGCUCCCAUUUGGGCUCAGGGAAACCAUACACAACAGCUGCCACCAGUUUGUGUCUCUCAUCUGUGCCUCAACAGCUGGGGGACACUGGCACAGCCAGCCUGUCUCCACUCCUGAGUUCUGGACCUUGUCAUCCUUUCUGCUGUGGCCGUUUGGCGGGUGGGGAGAGAAACAGGGGCCCCUCCAGGACGCCCUGGCUUCAGCACCUUCUGGGUGAGCCCAGAGAUUGAGGAGUUUGUCUCCAGAUGCUGAGAAGCAGGUCUUGCCUGGCUGGUCCAGUGUCCCCCAGUCCACCUAGUGCCCGAG
Molecule: long non-coding RNA, 619 nt
Filed under: Marmota monax (woodchuck)
Lineage: Eukaryota; Metazoa; Chordata; Mammalia; Rodentia; Sciuridae
Source: RNAcentral